Molecule: transfer RNA, 74 nt
Filed under: Peptostreptococcaceae bacterium oral taxon 113 str. W5053
Lineage: Bacteria; Bacillati; Bacillota; Clostridia; Peptostreptococcales; Peptostreptococcaceae
Rfam family: tRNA
About the family: Transfer RNA (tRNA) molecules are approximately 80 nucleotides in length. Their secondary structure includes four short double-helical elements and three loops (D, anti-codon, and T loops). Further hydrogen bonds mediate the characteristic L-shaped molecular structure. tRNAs have two regions of fundamental functional importance: the anti-codon, which is responsible for specific mRNA codon recognition, and the 3' end, to which the tRNAs corresponding amino acid is attached (by aminoacyl-tRNA synthetases). tRNAs cope with the degeneracy of the genetic code in two manners: having more than one tRNA (with a specific anti-codon) for a particular amino acid; and 'wobble' base-pairing, i.e. permitting non-standard base-pairing at the 3rd anti-codon position.
Source: Rfam by way of RNAcentral
CGGGAUGUGGCGCAGUCCGGUAGCGUACAAGUAUGGGGUACUUGGGGUCGCAGGUUCGAAUCCUGUCAUCCCGA